AUUGAACGCUGGCGGCAGGCUUAACACAUGCAAGUCGAGCGGGGGAGGUUGCUUCGGUAACUGACCUAGCGGCGGACGGGUGAGUAAUGCUUAGGAAUCUGCCUAUUAGUGGGGGACAACAUUCCGAAAGGAAUGCUAAUACCGCAUACGCCCUACGGGGGAAAGCAGGGGAUCUUCGGACCUUGCGCUAAUAGAUGAGCCUAAGUCGGAUUAGCUAGUUGGUGGGGUAAAGGCCUACCAAGGCGACGAUCUGUAGCGGGUCUGAGAGGAUGAUCCGCCACACUGGGACUGAGACACGGCCCAGACUCCUACGGGAGGCAGCAGUGGGGAAUAUUGGACAAUGGGCGCAAGCCUGAUCCAGCCAUGCCGCGUGUGUGAAGAAGGCCUUAUGGUUGUAAAGCACUUUAAGCGAGGAGGAGGCUACUUUAGAUAAUACCUAGAGAUAGUGGACGUUACUCGCAGAAUAAGCACCGGCUAACUCUGUGCCAGCCGCCGCCGUAAAAC
This 504-nucleotide ribosomal RNA is filed under the name uncultured bacterium. RNAcentral's name for it is "bacterial SSU rRNA". It matches the Rfam family "Bacterial small subunit ribosomal RNA", at positions 30 to 526 of the family's 1533-position model. The record is from RNAcentral.